AAGAUCAUACUUUUAGGGAUCAUUUCUAUAGUAUGUAUCUCCUUUCGCAAUCGUACACUUGUACGGUGCUUCGUCAACCACGAUGACGAGCUACAGUGCUCCCCUCUGAGCGCGAAGCGGGUCUCGGGUGCUACCUUCGGGUUUCCUGCCCUUGGCCAUUGAUGAACGUUCCUCCUCCCCUUAAGUGGGAGCAGGAGGAGGGGAACACAUUCUGAGUGGU
Molecule: small nucleolar RNA, 220 nt
Filed under: Patiria miniata (bat star)
Lineage: Eukaryota; Metazoa; Echinodermata; Asteroidea; Valvatida; Asterinidae
Description: small nucleolar RNA U3
Rfam family: Small nucleolar RNA U3
About the family: Small nucleolar RNAs (snoRNAs) are involved in the processing and modification of rRNA in the nucleolus.
Source: Rfam by way of RNAcentral